RNAcentral lists this microRNA precursor (103 nucleotides) under Marmota monax (woodchuck). Lineage: Eukaryota; Metazoa; Chordata; Mammalia; Rodentia; Sciuridae. The record is from RNAcentral.
AGUGGGAUAACUGGGUCAAAUGGUUGUUCCAUUCCUCGUUUUUUGAGGAAUCUCCAUAAUGUUUUCCAUAAUGAUUGCGCUGAUUUGCAGUCCCACCAGCAAU